GUGCUCACUUUGGCAGCACAUAUACUAAAAUUGGAACAAUACAGAGUAGAUAAACAUGGCCCCCAUGCAAGGAUGACAUGCAAAUUCACGAAGCAUUCCACGUUUUU
This is a small nuclear RNA of Loxodonta africana (African savanna elephant), 107 nucleotides long. The record is from Ensembl. Lineage: Eukaryota; Metazoa; Chordata; Mammalia; Proboscidea; Elephantidae.